Non-coding RNA from Ciona savignyi (Pacific transparent sea squirt), 73 nucleotides. The record is from Rfam. Lineage: Eukaryota; Metazoa; Chordata; Ascidiacea; Phlebobranchia; Cionidae.
ACCUCUAUGGCGCAGUAGGCAACGCGUGAGUCUCAUAAUCUCCAGGUCGUGAGUUCGAUCCUCACUCGGGGCA